UAACCAGGAUUCCCUUAGUAACGGCGAGUGAACAGGGAUUAGCCCAGCACCGAAGCCUGCAAUUAUUUGACUGCUAGGCAAUGUGGUGUUUGAAUUGGUUUUUGUCAAUUCUGCUUCAUCCUAAGUCCAUCAAUGAGUACGGCUAAUAAACCGGCCCAAAGAGGGUGAAAGGCCCGUAUGGAUGAAGAUCAAGUGUGACAGAAUUGGCUUGAACUGAUUUUGGAGUCGGGUUGUUUGUGAAUGCAGCCCAAAGUGGGUGGUAAACUCCAUCCAAGGCUAAAUACUGGCACGAAUCCGAUAGCAAACAAGUACCGUGAGGGAAAGUUGAAAAGUACUUUGAAGAGAGAGUAAACAGUGCGUGAAACCGCUCAGAGGUAAACGGGUGGAGUUGAACUGGAAUCCCCGAGAAUUUAACUGAUAAGUAUGGCAUGCGCUUGGGCAUGUUGGCCAGCAUCGAGGGUCCGCUUGAUUGCGGGCCUUGGCUUUUCGGAGUUGAGGUACACGUUGCACUUGUCAGGUGUUGUGUGCUUUGGUUGCAUUGGGCUUGCUUGUCAGUGCAUUUUUUCGGGGUGAUCACCACGACCGGCGUGGUUGCCUGUUUGCCGUAGUUAAACCGGUCAGAUUUGGUUAUGUAGCUGGAUUUGGUCGGGAUGGCAGGUAGCUUGUUUGCUCAUUUGAGUUUGCAGGUGUUAUCAGCUGACUGCGGUAAAUUUGUGCAAUAUGUCGGAGAUGACGGCUUUGCUCACGUUGCCUAGCAAAUCAAGUUGGGUUUGCUUGGCACGUACUUGCAGGGCAAGUCUGUUAGUAGCCCGGUGGGUUUUGUUGGCAGUGGUGUGUAACG
This 841-nucleotide ribosomal RNA is filed under the name Cardicola sp. type A. RNAcentral describes it as "eukaryotic LSU rRNA". It matches the Rfam family "Eukaryotic large subunit ribosomal RNA", at positions 66 to 635 of the family's 3401-position model. Lineage: Eukaryota; Metazoa; Platyhelminthes; Trematoda; Strigeidida; Aporocotylidae. The record is from RNAcentral.